Molecule: long non-coding RNA, 788 nt
Organism: Stylophora pistillata
Lineage: Eukaryota; Metazoa; Cnidaria; Anthozoa; Scleractinia; Pocilloporidae
Source: RefSeq, a predicted model, not a curated record
AACCUUGCUUAAGACAAAGAGCUCUCAGAGCUGAAGCCACAGUUGCAAAAUUGAAAGAAGAAGUGAAUAUAUUAAAGACAGAGUCAAUUCCUAUAGCAACAUAUAACCAGCUGUUAGAUGCCAAUCAUUAUACAAUUACAGCUGUCAAAGAUAAAUCAAAAGCUGCUGCUCAUCAAAUGAAAAUAGCAGUGAAAAAUGCCAAGCAAGCAGUAAGAUGUGUGCUUAUUUGUAUAAUCAAGCUUGUCUACUUGUGACAAAAGAUCCCUUGUUUUCAAUCUUGGUGUAAGGCAACUGCUUGUUGGAGUGGAUACACUGAAGUUCGUCUCACAACAGCUUGAGUCUAUUGAUAGAAUAACAGAUGUUCAUGUGCAUUCAGAGAAGAGUUAACCCUUUGCAGCGUAACAUUGAUAUCCUUAUUUUCCAUUCUCUUUUCUAUGCAUUUCCUCAAGACAAAGACAAUGAGAACUUGUUUUGAAAUCAAAGUUAUUUAGGGUUGGCAGUCAUUUCCUUUAUUCUGAUGAUUUUAAUGAAUGGUUCAACAUGAUCACUGUUAGGGUCUCAAGGUUUAAUACAGAGUGGUAUACACUGGAUGGUGAUGGCUUGUUACCUUACUGUUGCCACCCAACACAAGGUAUUAGUCCUGCUCAGGAUAGAGGUUUCUCUUUUUAUGAAAUGGACAAUUUUUGACAAAUGAUCAGUCUUAGUCAUAAAACAGAUUUGAUUCAAAAUUGAUGAGCUUGCAGCUAAGAAGAAAAUCAACCAAGAAACUGCUUAUUUCCCCCCAAGAA